AAAAAGGCUCCUUUCGGAGCCUUUAGUAUAAUUAGAAACUAAUUA
Non-coding RNA from Bacteriovorax sp. Seq25_V, 45 nucleotides. The record is from Rfam. Lineage: Bacteria; Pseudomonadati; Bdellovibrionota; Bacteriovoracia; Bacteriovoracales; Bacteriovoracaceae.